GAUGAACGCUGGCGGCGUGCCUAAUACAUGCAAGUCGAGCGAACAGACGAGGAGCUUGCUCCUCUGACGUUAGCGGCGGACGGGUGAGUAACACGUGGAUAACCUACCUAUAAGACUGGGAUAACUUCGGGAAACCGGAGCUAAUACCGGAUAAUAUAUUGAACCGCAUGGUUCAAUAGUGAAAGACGGUUUUGCUGUCACUUAUAGAUGGAUCCGCGCCGCAUUAGCUAGUUGGUAAGGUAACGGCUUACCAAGGCAACGAUGCGUAGCCGACCUGAGAGGGUGAUCGGCCACACUGGAACUGAGACACGGUCCAGACUCCUACGGGAGGCAGCAGUAGGGAAUCUUCCGCAAAGGGCGAAAGCCUGACGGAGCAACGCCGCGUGAGUGAUGAAGGUCUUCGGAUCGUAAAACUCUGUUAUUAGGGAAGAACAAAUGUGUAAGUAACUAUGCACGUCUUGACGGUACCUAAUCAGAAAGCCACGGCUAACUACGUA
Molecule: ribosomal RNA, 497 nt
Filed under: uncultured bacterium
Lineage: Bacteria
Description: partial 16S ribosomal RNA
Rfam family: Bacterial small subunit ribosomal RNA
Source: RNAcentral